CUACGGGUUGCACCAGUGAGGAAUAUUGCACAAUGGGGGGAACCCUGAUGCAGCAACGCCGUGUGGAGGAUGACGCAUUUCGGUGUGUAAACUCCUUUUAUAUGUCAAGAAAAUGACGGUAGCAUAUGAAUAAGCACCGGCUAACUCCGUGCCAGCAGCCGCGGUAAUACGGAGGGUGCAAGCGUUACUCGGAAUCACUGGGCGUAAAGGACGCGUAGGCGGGUUGGAAAGUCAGGUGUGAAAUCCUACAGCUUAACUGUAGAACUGCACUUGAAACUUCUAAUCUAGAGUAUGGGAGGGGGAGAUGGAAUUAGUGGUGUAGGGGUAACAUCCGUAGAUAUCACUAGGAAUACCUAAAGCGAAGGCGAUCUCCUGGAACAUUACUGACGCUAAGGCGUGAAAGCGUGGGGAGCAAACAGGAUUAGAUACCCUAGUAGUC
Molecule: ribosomal RNA, 439 nt
Filed under: uncultured bacterium
Lineage: Bacteria
Description: partial 16S ribosomal RNA
Rfam family: Bacterial small subunit ribosomal RNA
Source: RNAcentral